CCUACGGGCGGCAGCAGUGGGGAAUAUUGGACAAUGGGCGAAAGCCUGAUCCAGCCAUGCCGCGUGUGUGAAGAAGGCCUUCGGGUUGUAAAGCACUUUCAGUGGGGAAGAAAGCCUUGGGGCUAAUACCCUCGAGGAAGGACAUCACCCACAGAAGAAGCACCGGCUAACUCCGUGCCAGCAGCCGCGGUAAUACGGAGGGUGCGAGCGUUAAUCGGAAUUACUGGGCGUAAAGCGCGCGUAGGCGGUCUGAUAAGCCGGUUGUGAAAGCCCCGGGCUCAACCUGGGAACGGCAUCCGGAACUGUCAGGCUAGAGUGCAGGAGAGGAAGGUAGAAUUCCCGGUGUAGCGGUGAAAUGCGUAGAGAUCGGGAGGAAUACCAGUGGCGAAGGCGGCCUUCUGGACUGACACUGACGCUGAGAUGCGAAAGCGUGGGUAGCAAACAGGAUUAGAUACCCGUGUAGUC
Molecule: ribosomal RNA, 465 nt
Filed under: Vreelandella stevensii
Lineage: Bacteria; Pseudomonadati; Pseudomonadota; Gammaproteobacteria; Oceanospirillales; Halomonadaceae
Description: partial 16S ribosomal RNA
Rfam family: Bacterial small subunit ribosomal RNA
Source: RNAcentral